This 482-nucleotide ribosomal RNA is filed under the name Turritopsis dohrnii. Its description in RNAcentral is "partial 16S ribosomal RNA". It matches the Rfam family "Bacterial large subunit ribosomal RNA", at positions 1954 to 2586 of the family's 2925-position model. The record is from RNAcentral. Lineage: Eukaryota; Metazoa; Cnidaria; Hydrozoa; Anthoathecata; Oceaniidae.
AUGUAGCAUAAUCAAUCGCCAUUUAAUUGAUGGAUAGUAUGAAUGGUUAAACGAAUAUUACACUGUCUCAAGUAAAAAUUUUAUGAAAUUAAGAUAAUAGUUAAGACGCUAUUUCAAACUGUAAGACGAAAAGACCCUAUAGAGCUUAACUAUAAACUUUUUUGAUAAAGAUCAUCAAAAAAUGAUUAUAAAAGAAAGUUAGGUAGUUUAGUUGGGGCGACUGUCUUCUAAAAAGAACGAAGACUAGCAAAGUUAAUAAAAAUAACUUAUUGUUUAAUAAAUUUAUUUAACAAUUACAAAAGUAGGCUAUAAUGACCCAUUGAACUUAAGAAAGUAAAUCAAUGAUUAAAAAAUAAAAGCUACCUUAGGGAUAACAGGAUAAUUUUGUUUUAGAGAUCAUAUCGAAGACAAAGUUUGUCACCUCUAUGUUGAAUUGAGAUAUCCUGAUAAUGCAGAAGUUUCAAAGGUAGGUCUGUNCGACC